UUCCAUGAUGAUUUACUCUUUUAUCACGACGGUCAACAUAGUCUAUACAUUGAUGACCACAGCCUGUGACAGGGCAUUGAUCUGAUAC
This 88-nucleotide small nucleolar RNA is filed under the name Trichophyton rubrum BMU01672. RNAcentral describes it as "CD-box snoRNA". It matches the Rfam family "Small nucleolar RNA snR73". The record is from RNAcentral. Lineage: Eukaryota; Fungi; Ascomycota; Eurotiomycetes; Onygenales; Arthrodermataceae.